GCUGGGCGCGGUGAUGCACAUCUGUAAUCCCUGCGGCUUGGGAGGCUGAGGCAGGAGGAUCACGAGUUCAAAGCCAGCCUCAGCAACUUAGUGAGGCACUAAGGAACUCGGUGAGACCCUGUCUCUA
RNAcentral lists this small RNA (127 nucleotides) under Marmota monax (woodchuck). Lineage: Eukaryota; Metazoa; Chordata; Mammalia; Rodentia; Sciuridae. The record is from RNAcentral.